This 942-nucleotide long non-coding RNA is filed under the name Helianthus annuus (common sunflower). RNAcentral's name for it is "hypothetical non coding rna". Lineage: Eukaryota; Viridiplantae; Streptophyta; Magnoliopsida; Asterales; Asteraceae. The record is from RNAcentral.
GGUGAAAUGUCUAUAUAACACAAGAAUACAAGAGCUAUUUUAUUUAACACAAAAAAUAAAUACACAAACCACACCAUAUAAGAUUAAAAACAUAAACUACAAUACACAAAUCAGUUUCUUUUUUUAAUUUGGGAAAACAAUAUUGAUAUUUGAACAAUCCCUUCUAAAUCUCUAAUGCUUAAUUUAAUUACAUUUUUGACUGAUACAAUCAGUCACAAACCAUUUUUCACUCACUUUGGACACAAGUAGCAAAACUUUAAUUACCGUCACUAAUCCACACUCACGGGGUUUGAAUCGAACUCGCAAAACUAUUAAUUAACGCCAACGCAUUACUAGUCACUUCCUUCACCUUCACCGCGCGUUCACAAACAUCUGUCUUCACAUCAUCCGCCACAUCAUCAAACCCAUCCGUACACGUCUCCACAUUCGUCAACGCCGCACUCAUCCACGUUUGCACAUUGCUGAGGUGGAACCUCAUCCCCUCAUGGGACCCACCCAGCCUUCUCAUUUCGCUUAACGACCCCCGGAUUUCAUCCACCGCGUCGCGGAACACGGAGUAGCAAUCGUGUACCGCGGCUGCGGCUCUUGGGCUGCAGCUGUAGUCAGCGUGGCGCGUUAUGUUGGCUACGUAUUUAGCCAUGUGGCUGGCUUGGAAGAGUGUCACGCCGAUUGCGGCUCGAGCCAGCCGACCCGGGUCUUGUUUACGGAGUAGCCGGAUAGAGAGGUGAAACAUGUUUGUGGGUACAAGGUUGUUUUGCAACUUGUACGGAUGAAAUCUUUGUCAUUUGACUCAUUUGGUUGUGGUGAUGGUGAUGGUGGUAAGGGGUUGCUAGUGGUGGUGGUGGUGGUUAUGGUUGUUAAGGUGGUUGAUAGGAGGAAUAUGAUGAUUGGGAUUUGGGUUUUCAUUUUUUUUUUUUUUGGUUGAGAGUUUGAAAAUGAGUU